This 431-nucleotide RNase P RNA is filed under the name Leptolyngbyaceae cyanobacterium SM1_1_3. RNAcentral describes it as "RNase P RNA component class A". It matches the Rfam family "Bacterial RNase P class A". From Rfam's summary of the family: Ribonuclease P (RNase P) is a ubiquitous endoribonuclease, found in archaea, bacteria and eukarya as well as chloroplasts and mitochondria. Its best characterised activity is the generation of mature 5'-ends of tRNAs by cleaving the 5'-leader elements of precursor-tRNAs. The record is from RNAcentral. Lineage: Bacteria; Bacillati; Cyanobacteriota; Cyanophyceae; Leptolyngbyales; Leptolyngbyaceae.
AGAGCAGGCGAGGCAGUUGCAGGUUGAGCCUAGUGCUCAGCGUGAGGAAAGUCCGGGCUUCCGAAAGACCAAACUUGCUGGGUAAUGCCCAGUGCGGGCGACCGUGAGGAGAGUGCCACAGAAACAUACCGCCGAUGGGAAGGCAGAAGGCAGAAGGCAGAAGGCAGAAGGUUGAUUCUGCUUCAGCUUUUCUAAUUCAUUCUUUUACAGGUAAGGGUGCAAGGGUGCGGUAAGAGCGCACCAGCAGCAUCGAGAGGUGCUGGCUCGGUAAACCCCGGUUGGAAGCAAGGUCGUAGGGGCAACGGUUGGUCUUUUCCGGCUCCGUUUUAAGUGUACCGCUGGAGGCGUCUGGUAACAGCCGUCGUAGAUAGAUAACUGCCCUGCUGAUGUGAGUUAGCAGAACAGAACCCGGCUUAUGUCCGGCUCUUUCC